CACCGGGUGCUCUUCGGGUCGACCUGUGGUGCUGAGUGAGUUGGUUGGGUGUCGGUGAGGAGAAGAAAGGGGAGUGGGGGGCAGGUGCGGCGUUGCGUUGGCUCUCUCUCUUAGUCUAGAACCACCUGAGCUUAGGUUAGGUUAGGUUAGGUUCCGCCUCCAGCUCUAGUUUGGGUGGCCUCUACUUCAAGAAGAGCCGCAAGCUGGGCACCGGCCACAAGAAGGCGGCCCUCACCCCGGCGUGGACCGGGAAGGAGCGGCCGAAGCGGCAGUGCCCCCGGGAGUAGUGGUUCUACUGGCGGCCGAAGUGGUUCCUCCUGGAGUUCUUGAGGUUCAAGCAGGUCCGCGUGUUCUUCUUCAUCAGCGGCGGGCGGGCCGGGCAGGCGGCGGUCCAGUGUCCCCGUCGUCGACUCAUUGGCCGUACACAGGAACUACGCCGCUCGGUCAGGAGUGGGAGUGAUAACACUAACUCGAAAAUACAAAAAAAAAGUUUAGGUUGACGUACGUAAAAACGACGAGACCAAACAUUACAUUAUUCGCUGUAAACUUAGCAACUUAGGUUCUUUUUUUUACCGAAGCCUAUUUCAUCGACGGUACCCAGUGAGACAGAUACAUGUUACUUCUGCGAGAGACAAAACAAAGCACCUAGACAAUGGCACACACGAAGCGAAAAAACCAUCAGCUAUGACGACUAAUGACGGUAACCAACAAUUCUCGUAAAUGAACGAAUGUGACCAAAUGACCUACAGACCUUAUCCAACUAGUUGAACUACUAGAGGUUAGUUCAAAUUAAGAAGAAUUUAAAUGCUAGAAGUUCAUUCAAAUUAAGAUCAGUACGAAGGGUCCGCUGGUACGUACCUUUACUUAAACUUGCGACGUUUAUUACAUCGGUAGACAAAGGUUUUAUGUACUACACAUGCCAUACAUGGAUCAGAUAGGGUCU
RNAcentral lists this ribosomal RNA (943 nucleotides) under Triticum aestivum (bread wheat). Its description in RNAcentral is "partial small subunit ribosomal RNA". The record is from RNAcentral. Lineage: Eukaryota; Viridiplantae; Streptophyta; Magnoliopsida; Poales; Poaceae.